Molecule: non-coding RNA, 468 nt
Filed under: Pongo abelii (Sumatran orangutan)
Lineage: Eukaryota; Metazoa; Chordata; Mammalia; Primates; Hominidae
Source: RNAcentral
UAAUAUACUAUUAUUGUAAUUCCACAGGAAAUGCUUUUCAUUCCCAUCUCAGAAGAAUUAGAGAAAUGUUAUCUUUGUUUUUCUUUUUUUUUUUUUUUUUUUUUUUGAGAGAGUCUCGCUCUGUCACCCAGGUUUGACCCUACCAAAACUAUUGUUUACGCUUUAAUGCCUCUUCCAAAUAUCCCACUGAGUAAAGGUUCACCCAUGUAGAAAAGCAGGUUCAACACAGCUUUUUUCCUAGUGAUAAACAUCAACUGUAGCUGAAAAAUGUACUAAAUAGAACUGUACUUCCCAAUGUUUUACCAGAGAUCUAAUCAUAUUUCAGCUUAACGCUUUUUAGUAGAAAACAGUUUUGUAUUUUAUACUACUCUACUCUAUGUGUCUAGUAUUUAAUAAUGAAUUGAUUUUCUAGCUAUUUGUUGGGGAUAAAACACAAAAAUGAAUGAUGAUGUAUCAUAACCUUCUGAC